GGCUACACAGCUUCUGCUAGACCCUCUUGGGAUGUUCUUGCUUGGAGCCAAGCAGCCACCUGGAGACCCCACACAGCCUUUCCAGCUGACAGCCCCAGCUGAGGUCCCAGCAGAUGGCAUAUCCACAGUGAGUGGGUGAGCCUGGAGAGAACUCCUGCCCUCAUUGCCCUCUGACCACAGCAGAGGGAGAGCCCAGCCGAGCCUACUCUACCCCAGGACCACGAGGAAAUGAAGCCUUCUCUGAACCAGUCCCAAGAAGUCUCAACUUUAAAGCAUUAACUCCCCAAAUGAACUCACUUUCAUUUCAUCUUCUCAUAUGUCAUUGCAUUCUCAACAAACCAGAUCUAUAGGAUGGAUCAGUCAAAGCUUACAAAGAAAUCUAAUUAGGUAUGGAAUAUGAACUUUUUAUUUGAUAAAUAACUUAG
RNAcentral lists this long non-coding RNA (425 nucleotides) under Pan troglodytes (chimpanzee). RNAcentral describes it as "long non-coding RNA NONPTRT001729". The record is from RNAcentral. Lineage: Eukaryota; Metazoa; Chordata; Mammalia; Primates; Hominidae.